AGUGAACGCUGGCGGUAGGCCUAACACAUGCAAGUCGAACGGCAGCACAGUAAGAUUUUGCUCUUACGGGUGGCGAGUGGCGGACGGGUGAGGAAUACAUCGGAUUCUACUUUUUCGUGGGGGAUAACGUAGGGAAACUUACGCUAAUACCGCAUACGACCUACGGGUGAAAGCAGUGGAUCUUCGGACCUUUCGUGUUUGAAUGAGCCGAUGUCGGAUUAGCUAGUUGGCGGGGUAAAGGCCCACCAAGGCGACGAUCCGUAGCUGGUCUGAGAGGAUGAUCAGCCACACUGGAACUGAGACACGGUCCAGACUCCUACGGGAGGCAGCAGUGGGGAAUAUUGGACAAUGGGCGCAAGCCUGAUCCAGCCAUACCGCGUGGGUGAAGAAGGCCUUCGGGUUGUAAAGCCCUUUUGUUAGGAAAGAAAAGAAGCAUGUUAAUACCCGGCUGUUCUGACGGUACCCAAAGAAUAAGCACCGGCUAACUUCGUG
This 492-nucleotide ribosomal RNA is filed under the name uncultured bacterium. Its description in RNAcentral is "partial 16S ribosomal RNA". It matches the Rfam family "Bacterial small subunit ribosomal RNA", at positions 29 to 507 of the family's 1533-position model. The record is from RNAcentral.